RNAcentral lists this ribosomal RNA (123 nucleotides) under uncultured bacterium. Its description in RNAcentral is "partial 16S rRNA". The record is from RNAcentral.
GGCAUGGGCGAAGCUGAUCCAGCAAUGCGGUGUGGGAAGAAGGCUUCGGGUUGUAAACACUUUUGGCAGGAAAGAAAUCGUUUGCGAUAAUACCGGAAUGGAUGACGGUACCUGCAGAAUAAG